CUGACCCCUUUUCUGAUGGAAUAUCAUUUUCACAAGGCAAUCUCCAUUUAAUGUUAACCAUCAAAGCAUCUUAAGCCAAAGAAGUUGCCGAAACCUUUAUCCCCUGAGGUGGGAGUUCUCCUCCUUUCGUAGGAGGCCUUCUUCCAACAACAAAGGCCGGUUUAAAGGAAAAUCUGAAAGGCCAUCGGCAAAUUGAUGUCAUGGUGGUCAUUGUGACAGUGUCUUCAUCAUCUGGUCGCAGGGAGCCCAGUUAGGAUAAUUCACCAACUCACAAUAACCAAGGAACGGAUUAGAAGAAUGGGUCACCUUUAUGUUUGUAGAGGGGCUCCCUGCUGAUUCUUCCAAGAGGGUGUAAAAUUGUCCUGGAGGUGACCAUGAAAAAUUACAGGCUGUGUGCAGCAUUGAGAGUUUCUCUCUAAGAUUUGUUCAACCAAUAUGGCCAUUAUUGAGAAUUCUGAGAGUUGAAGUCCACAAAUCUGGAAGAUGUUGAAGUUCGGAAAUGAUACCCAUUCUCUCUUGUACUAGUGAUUGUUUUCCAACAUACUCCACAAAGCCUGAUGCAUCCUGGUUCAAACAUUUCCCAUGGACCUUAUAACCAUAUUCAGGUGAUUGUUACUUCCAAACAUUUUUUCAAGGAAAAUUUUGAUAGGAAAUAUAAUGCUGGCCAAGGAUUUUUAGAGUUCUCAGCAAAUAUUUCUGUUCUGCAUGCAUUUAUACUAUUUGAUAGACUGCAACAUAUGCUUCAGGGUUUCAUUAAAUAUCCUAAUACAUU
Molecule: long non-coding RNA, 772 nt
Organism: Pantherophis guttatus
Lineage: Eukaryota; Metazoa; Chordata; Lepidosauria; Squamata; Colubridae
Source: RefSeq, a predicted model, not a curated record